Lolium rigidum is the source of this 647-nucleotide long non-coding RNA. RefSeq lists it as uncharacterized. Lineage: Eukaryota; Viridiplantae; Streptophyta; Magnoliopsida; Poales; Poaceae. The record is from RefSeq and is a predicted model, not a curated record. The transcript is spliced from 2 exons.
UUCAAUUUAUUAUUCUGAUUAUCGUAGUAUAUAAUCAGGUAAGCACUAGUUCUACAUACAAUAUCCGAGGGACCACGAUUUCCAUGUUGGAUUCAUGAUCACCAGGAGUGAAGCACCAGGAUACCAUAAAUACGUCGAUUAAAAUUCACAGUUGUUAGGAACCUGGACUUUCUUUUGUUGCUAACGCACAACAUAUCCUUUAAGUUCAGAUAUUUGAUUUGAAAUGCAGCAGGAGUAAGUAUCAGUACUGAUUCUACUAUGUAUGUGCAGUAUUCCAGGAACAUGACGAUGUCUCUGCUCGAUUGUAGACGAUCCAAGAUGAAAUGGUCAGUGCCAUGUGUGAAGAUAGGAGGUUGGGCUGCUAUGAACAUAGCAGGUGGCUAAAAAUGGCGCACAUAACAGCCUCCAGCUUUGGUUAUGGAGAUGGUGAAGGGCUUGAGAGGUUUAGAAAGCAGAGGAUGCAUUGAGAAGACAUCUUAUUAGCACAUGGAUUUGUAAAUUUCACUUGUGGUAGUGGCCUGAUGUUAUGUGCAUACAUCUCUUGGGGUCUAAAUAAAUACAUCCAUCUUGGGGCCUGAUGUUAUGUGCAUACAUCUCUUGGAUUCUUUGUUUUGUUUUUGCUUAUUCCAUACUGCUGUUGGAUUCUC